Molecule: ribosomal RNA, 373 nt
Filed under: uncultured bacterium
Lineage: Bacteria
Description: bacterial SSU rRNA
Rfam family: Bacterial small subunit ribosomal RNA
Source: RNAcentral
GAUGAACGCUGGCGGCGUGCCUAACACAUGCAAGUCGAACGCUCGCAAGAGAGUGGCGCACGGGUGAGUAACACGUAGCUAAUCUGCCCUCAAGACAAGGAUAACUGUAGGAAACUACUGCUAAUACUUGAUAAGCUUACGGACUGUAGAGGUCUAUAAGAAAAGAUUUAUCGCUUGAGGAUGAGGCUGCGCGCCAUCAGCUAGUUGGUAAGGUAAUGGCUUACCAAGGCGACGACGGCUAGGGGACCUGAGAGGGUGACCCCCCACACUGGGACUGAGACACGGCCCAGACUCCUACGGGAGGCAGCAGUGGGGAAUAUUGCGCAAUGGGCGAAAGCCUGACGCAGCGACGCCGCGUGGGUGAUGAAGGCCU